AAAUAAGAAGUAAAUAUUACAUUUAAUUUCGACUUAAAAAUUUGGUGACUUUAUCACCCUUAUUUA
RNAcentral lists this transfer RNA (66 nucleotides) under Liopterus haemorrhoidalis. RNAcentral's name for it is "tRNA-Arg". The record is from RNAcentral. Lineage: Eukaryota; Metazoa; Arthropoda; Insecta; Coleoptera; Dytiscidae.